AAAAUUGACAUUUGAUUUGACACGAAUCACGACAGCAAUGUCCUGAGUCUGGACGGCCCGCCGGAUGAACGGUCCUCGGGGCUUCUGCUUCUUUUAUACCCCCCCCCCUCCCGCCCUGUCGGCCGUACCGUCCGCCGGUCGGAUCGUCAGCCCCACCCCUCCAUAUGAUUUUAAUGGUCUGCCGUUCAAUCGAAGUGGGCAGUAUUUGGCCCCGAACCUGAAAUGAGUUUGACACCCCUGCUUUACUGGAUAUUUUGAAUCUGUCUUUAUUGAGGUAGCCAUAAGUAAUCCUCUUCUUAAGAAACCUACUCUUGCUCCAGAGGUGAUGACUAACUACAGACCUAUCUCUAAUCUUCCCUUCCUCUCCAAGAUCCUUGAGAAAUCCGUCGAAAAUUAAUAUCACUUUCUACAAAACAAUGCUUUGUUUGAGGAUUUCCAGUCAGGAUUUCGAGCGCAUUAUAGUACAGAAACAGCACUGGUGAAAAUUACGAAUGAUCUUCUACUUUCAUCGGACCAAAGACUCCUCUCUUUUCUUGAGUUGCUGGACCUCAGUGCCGCAUUUGAUACCAUAGACCAGCGGUUCCCAAACUCAAGAAUGCCGCGGCCCACUUUGAAAUCUUAAAAUUCUUUUGCGGCCCACCCAAACCUUUAAUAACAACUCUGAUCAAAACAUAAACUAGGGAUGAUUAAAUGACGCAGGCGCAUCAGAUUAUAAGGCGCAUAAGAUGCUGCAGUCAAACGCGUCGGGGCGGGUGGAUGAGGGGGAGGGGGGAUGUGGGGAGGUGGAGACGGUGCUUUCAAGGUCCGAUCGAUGCUGCGAGGUGCGUCCGCUCCCGCCGCCCCCCUCGCCAUCCACGCCUUAAAUCUUUGGCUGCUCUCCAAACUUUUCAAAAUUGAAAAUUAAAAACAUUUUAUUGAUUUAUUGUAAAUGACCUCUCGCGGCCCACCUGCAGUACCUUCGCGGCCCACAAAAGAGGAGCUUUGGCUCCCAUCCUACUUUUUAAAACCCUAAGAACAAGCUGUGGGACUCCGUGACCAACAUUGGUGGUCUUCGAGGAUUCACCGUUCACAAGCACAAACUGGGAUGGAUCCGAUGAAUAGGACAUAAACUAGCUGAGUGCAGUUCCUUUGAUACCUAUCAAAUGUUCUAGUCUGCAACAGGAUACAAUGGUCUAUGGCAGCGAUUCCCAAAGUGGGCCGCUGUUUGGGUUUGCUUUGUUUGGCCUCCUAACUGGGUCAAGACCUAUUUUAACUGUACGAGAGACAGGCCUUACUUAUUUGUUUGGAUCCUUUGUUAUUAGUCUGUUUGUAAAUUUGUUUUUUUCCUUAUUUUGUUAAUCUUUGGUUAAGCCGUUUGUCGGUAUUUUAUUAGUAUAUUUUUUGUUUAAAUGUAAUCUCUUUCUUUCUGUUUUGGUUGAGUUUGUUUUAUUUUAGACCUGUUGCCCUCCUCUUCCCCCCCCUUCAGGUGCUGAGUCUGCGGUGGUGGAUUGGUGUCCCAGGUGGUGUCCCUCUUAUGUUGUGUUUUUGCAUGUUUGAGUUUGCUUCACUUUUAGUUUCACGUGUGGUGCUCCUUGGGUCCCCUUUUCUUUGGACAGUCCAUCCUCGUAAGUCUCAGCCCUGAUUGGUUCCCCCGUUGCUGGUCCCAGAGUGAAGAGGUUUUUACCGUUGUUUUUAAACCGUGAAUUUAAUAAAAUUACAUUUUGUACUGUAAAUUGCGUCUUUGCCUCAUUUUGCAACGAACCUGAGUGCCUCCCCUUAGUUUUGUUUGGGUGAAGAUUUAAAACAUUCCCUGGGUGAAAUGCCCAGGGUGGCGUUGUCUGGCAACAUUAUAAUAUUUAAACUGCCCUCACCUAUACAUCACUCCCCAUUUUUUGGGGAGUUUUUCCUGCGCCGAUGUGUGGGUUUCGGGACAGAGGAUGUCGUAUGUGUACAGACUGUAAAGCCCUCUGAGGCAAAUUUGCGAUUUUGGGCUAUACAAAAUGUAUUGAAUUGAAAUUAGUUGAAUUAAAAGCUACCCAGAUCCUGCUUCAUAAAUGAUACUGAACAUAUAUUCAUCCCAAAACACAAUGUGUCAUUUCAGAAGGUGACAGGGAAAUCAACCAGGGUGAUCUGGGAUGGUGGGCCUGUGUUCCUUAUAUAACCAUAACCAUCUCUACUGUCUUUAGAGCUUCAGUUUGUUAUAUCCGCACCGCGCCACCAGUUGGUAAAUCUCCCACCUGUAGGCGGACAAUGAGGGUGGUAUCAUCAGCAAACUUUAGGAGGAAAACUAUGUCCACUUUUGCAGAUGUUAACAUAUUGUGCUAUAAUCUGGUAGAGGUUUAGAGCUGCAAAUGCAUAAAUCCAAAUGAAUAAUCAUCUUGCUCUAUAUUUAAGGAAAACCUGAAACCUUUUUAUUUGUGCAAUGUGCCAUCUUCAUUUUGUCUUAAAUUGCAUCAUAUAUACACUAAUAUGCACACAUCUGGAUAAAGCCUCACAAGUGUUCCCUUUAUCAUGACACCAAGAUAUUCCAAAUGGACCCUAUGGUUGCAGAGAUAUCCUACUUUUUAUCAUGGGUAUGCCAUUUUCGAGCAGGCCCUGAGCUUGGUUUCCAUGAGGUUAAACACUUUGUCAAAAACAAACUUGUUUUGGGGGAAAAUUUAUUCUAAACAUGAUAUCAACGGGGCACUUUGAUUGCACAGAACCAUAACUUUUAGGGAAGAAGGUUAAUUACAACACUAGAUGCUAUAUAUUCCACAAAGCAACCAAUAUCAACAUGGGGUCCUUACUGCCGCUGUAAUGUUUAUUAUCUUUUCAGUAGUAGUUCAGAGUGUUAGCAUGCUAUCAUCUGUUAAUAAGCAAUCAUAAGCUAUUAAUAAAAUAAAAGUAUUGGACAAACGCAAAAUGUUCAUUUGAUGAUUUGACUAAGUGACAAAUAUAAAGAUCAAAGUCGUCACACUGGCUGCACCACUGCUGGACUCCCAGCAGUGGUGCAGCCAACUCCCAUCUAGUAUACCUAGUUCCCUAGCCUUCUCCCUAGCAACCCAACCAAAGCUCUUUGAUGGCGCUUUAUCAUGUUCCCAGCACGGCUCAAUUGCGCGUAUUGUUGGAUGGUUGAUUUGUCCUUGUAGACUGGCCAAAUAUGUCAUCAUUAUCUGUGUCCUUCUCAACGCCAACGGCAUUUCCCCCAUUUCCACCUGCAAUGAUGUUGUUUUAAAGGCCCCACAACAUCGCCAUGAUGCUUUCGCCGGUAUUACAUCUAAUUUUACCCAACAUGGUUUUAGACGGCGACCUAUAAGCCACACACCCAUAGUCUAUUACUGAUCUAAUCAGUCCCAUUCAUAUAGCUUUUAAAGCAGCCCUGUCAGCUCCCCACUCUGUUCCCACCAAGCAUCUCAUUACAUUUAAAACCUUUUUACAUUUAUUAACCACUUUCUCAAUAUGUACCUUUCAGGUGAGCUUCGCAUCAAACCACAUUCAUAAAAAUUUAUACGAGUCCAUCCUUUUCAGCUCCUUCCCAUUUAAAUACAUUUUGCCCAUUGUCCCGAUUUUUUUUCUUGUAAAGAAAAAGCCUAAUUCCUUUUCGUUAUUACCUCACUGCACUCAUCAUUCCACCAUGGAACUAACUUCCGCCUCUUUGUACCGGUUUUCCUUGAAAUUGUCUGUUUGACAGCUCCAAUUAUUGCGUCUCACAUUUCUAUUAAAUAUUUCUAUAUCCUGAUCUCUAUCUAUAAAUUUAAACCUUGAUUCACAGAUUUCUCUAAAUGUAUCCUACUGAGCCUUUCCAAAUACCCAGCUUUCUGCUGGAUCUUCUGCCCCCACCCUGCAUCCUCUUCCUACUCCACAGAAAAUAGGGUAUUGAUCACUUCCAUAACAGUUGAAUGUUUCCUUACCUCCCACACACAAAUACCUGCCAAUGAGCGUGAUACUAUUUUCAGGUCUAAAAUUGACUCAUUACCUGAGUUGUAAUUAAUUCUUGUGAAACUCCCAUCAUUUAAACACACCUCUCCUGGCGUUUCCCUUUCCCUCGCUUCUAUACAGCCUUCCAGUCAAUUGGGCUAAUUGGGAGAAACCAACUGGCUGGGGGUUCUGUCAGGUCGAAUUGAACCUGCUGUAUCCUACACAGUUAUGAUAAUAAUUCAUACGUUCUUAUCAUAAUGCCAACACUGUUGUCAUGUGGAUGUGAACAAUUAUAUAAUCAAGUGCUGACAUUAAUGUACACAUUUUGGCGGUUACAUAUAACCCAAACAAGGGACAGGGCACAGAUGAACUAGCCCACUUGUCCGUCAAUUUGGGGAAAAGGCUCUUCCCUUUCACACUGUCUCUCCUGUCCAUGUCUGUACAGUGUUGCGAUGCAGAGAACAUCUGGAAAGCCGCUACUCUGUUCUGUUUAUUUGGCGUUUAAUAAACUUCUGGAUGUUCCAUGUUUCACUGAUCAAAUUUCUGAUGCUUAACAGAUAUAUGCUGUUUGGCCCAUUCAGAUUCACACACACACCCAUAUAAACAACUCCUUGUUCUAUAUGGUCAUUUACACAUAUAUACAGAUACACAUGAUACAUAAGCUGAUACAGCACAUAUAUCCUCAUAACUAUUCAUUUGCAUCAAUUUGAUUCUUGGGCUUGUUUUCAUCUACACAUUCUGAAAGAGUUGACAUCAUUAUUCUCAUUGGAUGAUGAUGCAUCCAUGAAGCCUCCUGUCAGCAGGCACAUUUAAAGUAAUAUAAUCUUAUUGAUCGAGUGAUGAGGCACUUAAAAUUAGCUUUUACAUUUUCCCAAUAUUGCGCAUUCAACUUGUCUGCGAUACUUUGUCUUUGCCUCGCGGGGGGUGACAGUUUUUGCCAUGAUUGUGUAAUUCAAUUAAUUUUAUUUUGUAUAGCACGCAAAUUUGCCUCAGAUGGCUUUACAGUCUGUGCACAUGUCACAUCCUAAAUGAAAAAGCAGUCGAUGGAGAUAAUAAAGAAACCUUUAGAGAGACAUAGGAGGACGGACAGACUGCGAUGGACAAUGUAAAAUAUGUACAAUAUGUUCAAUUCAUCCAACAGAAAUUAUUCAGAUAAACUCUCCUCAUGAUCAUCUCCUGCUCGUGAGCAGAGAAAAAAUACGCUCUUCCUUUAAGUUUAUUUGUCGUUGUACCGUUAAAAAAAUCUUGGUUUUGGUGAUCGACUCUUCUGACGUGGGGUGAUUAUCCUGAUGGUUCAAACUAAGGACACUGUUUGAUGGAAGAUCAGCCUUUGAGGAACCAAGACAGCCUGACAUCAAUCAUCUCGUUAAUUUGAGCUGGAUAAUUGGAAAUGUGAUUGACUUAGUUGAAACAUGUACGAGAAACAGGGCCCUGGUCAGCUCAAAUCAGUUUCAGCUACAUUGGUGUUGAUGAGAUUAACAAAAGGUGCACUAGAGGGUCAACAAUCAUACGACCCCCAAAGCAGGACUGGUUUUGCAUGUGGAGGCCAAUUCAUCUCUUUGACUGGUUUCCCACUAGCGUUGGCUUUAGCUAGAUUCAUUGUCACUACUGGGAGCAUGAGGCCAAUUCUUAACCCCACAGAAGUUGGACAGGUGGUCUAUCCAUGCGUGCCGUUGCAGAGAGAUUUUCCAGCACAAUCUCUAGAACAGGGUUGCCCAUUAGGUCGAUCGCAAUCGACCAGUCAGUCAUCCAGUAAAGUAAUGACCAACAAUGUGUGGAAUGGUUGUGACGGUUCCCUCCUUCUGACAGAUGUGAGGCUUGUUUCUUUUUUUUCUAUCCACUCGUUUUGCGCUGACUGUAUGCGGCGCUGUUGUUCCGUUUCCUGACAAUUACAAUUGAAUGGCCCUCAUAAUCACCUGACUUAAACCCGAUGGAACACCUCUGGGAGGUCCAUCAGACGUGACCAGGUUGCCUCUCAGACUUUAAAGGCGCUCACUAAUGCUCUUCUGCAAAUUUUCGCCACGGUUUACUCACGCAAGUAGUUGUAGUUAUUUUGUUUCAUUCGCGUCCCAUUUUUGUCCGCUUCAUUCAUUCUCCGUUACGUGUCUCUGUAAAGACAGUUAUAAUGAGUUCCACUAUCUACCAUGUAAUAAAUAACCACUAUUUGAUAUUUAUUUGUUUUGUGAAUUACACAAAACGUCGGAACCGCAAACGGUGUUGUGUUUGAGUUCAUGACGUCAUCCGUCGCCGCACACAGUUUGAAUUUCACCGACUGCUCCAGGAAGUGCGUCUGGAUGCGUCAGGCGGACCAGCAGCCGGUCUGAUGACCUGUUGUGUCGGAUCAGUGCAGCUCUCGGUUACACACCUGAUUCCUUUUGCUUAGUUGGUCCCUCAUGAACUUAUUCAACGAGAAAGAGGUGGGACGAGCAACCAAUAAAAAAAGUGUUAGACUUCACUUGAGUGUUUAUGUCGCUUUUAGAUGGAGUUCGAUGUUCGCUUCCUGUCUGACACCAAAAAUACACAAAACACUUUCAAUUUGUAUUACAUCCAAUGACAAACUUCAAACACGUCACAGUAUGCCGUUUAUCUCCAAUACGGUGCCUACCAAACUAUGGGCAUCUUGGGACCUUCAGCUGUAGGUAAAGUUGGAGCGGGCGGUGGACUACAGCAGGGCUCACCGGGACGUCUAGAUGAAUCGAAGAAGCAGGCGCUAUGGACAGCUCACAAUUAUUAAUUGAAUCAAAAGUGACUUGACAGAUGUUUUCCGUUUAAUUUAUGCAAAGUUCUUUGUGUAGUGGGACAAUGGUACCAAUACACACAUAGCAGUGUUGACCUCGUGUGUGAGCCCUGUGUCUGUACAUGUUGCAGUAACAGUCCAGCGUGAAUUGAGAGAGAACAUAAACAACAUCAAGUGAAACAAAAUGUUGGGCUGAAUCUAGGCCGAGCCGCUCCCACAGGAGCCCAGUGAGAAUGAUACCAUUCAACAAAGCACAGACAACACACAUCUGCACAACGCGUACUGUAUUCCUCCAGUAUGUUCAGUAUUCUGCACUCACAAGGAAUGCUUAACAACAGUGUUGUGCGUGAAUAAAAAAAAAGAAGCAAAGCACUGCCUCUGGCUUUAUGGAAUGUGUUUUUGGCUUGGUUUGUUGGUUUUCUUCAUUCAGGCUUUAAAACACACCACUAGCCCGGUUUUCCUGUUUUAGCGCUGCAGCACAGUCGAAGGAGGAACCUCUCGCGAUUUUGGAGCCAAUCUAAAUCAAAGUGGGGUACAUAAGCAUGUAUCCCUUACAGAAACGUCCCUGGGGAAGACCUGCGCUCUUUGGAGCCCUUUAAGACUAAAAUGUAUUUCAAAAGUAGAUCUCCUGUUGUCUUCCCUGCUGAAAAGGCUGGAAAUGCCUCAGUGUUUCACAAACGUCUUGUCGUCUCUGCUGGAGUCACAACACCACCACAUGUCUGGUUUUUAUUUGUGAGUGCAUACAAGUAUCAAGAGAUCUUUUAAAAUUUUCAAAACGCGCUCUUUUGAUUUAAAAUAGAUUUUCCACACCAAUACUGUCUUAUGUAAAUUAUACAAAUAGUUACAAAAGUUUUGUCUUUAAGCUUUUAGGUAUUAUGUAUAGGAAUCAUAAAGGCCAUAAUAAUGAAAAUGAGUUGUCCAUUUCAAAUGGGAAGGACCCCCCCAACCUGUUAAAUGGGGUUUGUUUUACUCGCUGUGUAAACGAAAUGUUGAUGGCUGCUGCACUGUGUACAAAGAAGGAACUGUAGAGCAGGUAUUUAAGAUGCUCCGGUGACUCCACUCUGGAUGAUGAUGUGCUUUUUCUUGUCAGAUUGCUGUGGAGAUGCCUGUGGUCACCAGAGGACGAAUGAUACAGAUUUGGCCCUUUGACACAACAGUCAGGCAGAUUGUUGUGCAGUAAAAGGACGAACCUGUUCUCUCUCAGACAUCCAACAACCUUUUCUCAAAAGCCAAUUGUCCACCUGUUUGAUCACCUGAGCUGGAAGGAACGUCACAGCUUCUAGCGCUGCCAUGGAAGAAAAUUGGUUCAAUCAUUUAAAACAGCCCUGCUUUUUUUACAUGCAUUUAAAUGUUGAUUAAAUUCACUAAGUGAUUCCCUUUGACUGAAUAGAUUUUAAAAAUGUACUUUGGCAAUUACUUACUCACGAUUGCACCCUCUUGUCUUUACUUCAAAAAGGGAUCAGAAUCAAUACAGCAGAACCAGAGCAAACUUUUCUUACAGGCAUUAAAGUCGACUAGGACAGUAAGGUGUUAUAUUUAAAGGGCUGUAGUCAAACAAAUACAAUCAAUCAAAGUUCUUCCGACUCAGACUGAUCAAUUUGUAAAUUUCAUCCAAAUAUGUAGAAAUAGGCCAACUCUGAUAUGUCUAAUUCUAUGAAGAAGGCAAGUGAUUUUUUUUAACCCUGACCUUAUUAAAGCAGGACAAGCGAUCAUCCCACCCAUGAGAAUUAAAGGGGACAGCGUUGGCCGACCAACUACUCGCCGGCCGCUAGCAGGGUGUUAUGAAGGUCGAGCAAUAUCCCGUCUUUCUGACUCCACUGUCACUCUGACAGUCAGACUUCAGAGGGUUUGCUUCCUGACAGUAAUACGCCACAGCGCCUGUGAACACUCAGAUGAGUACAACCAGUGCAGGUAAUCCUUAAGCAAGCGCUUCCUCACUGCAACAGCGACAACAAAGGUCCCCUAAUGUUAACAAUGCCAACACUCACCCGGGGGGCAUUGAGAAAUAUAUAUUAAAGUAGCCAGUCAACUUUUUUUUUAAUUACACAGUUAAUAUCAUUUUGUCUGAUGUAAACAUUAUUUGAAGGGUGUGAGUUUGCAGUGUUUUCUCUUUUCAUUGACUUAAUUGAUUAACAUUGAUUUGAUUCCAUGUGUUGUGUUAUGUGAAUAUGAGGUGUUUACACAAAACAAAUGAUAACCUGAACCUCAACUGAGAACUAAAGAAGGAGGCCUUUGAUAUCCGGUAGGACUCCGCAGUCAGCUGCAGUCUACCACAGUACACGGGCGCCACUAAGGCGUUUCUGGAAGACCAUCGGGACCCCAGGAGGGGGAAAACGGGGAAUCAUCCAAGCUGUCCACAGUAAGGAUCGGACCCUGUUGACCGCAACUAAGUGUCACAGGGGUGGGCGUGGAAGGCAGGACUCAAACCCAGACUUCGAGAAAACAAAAGACUUUAAUAGUCAAAAGGAAAAAUGGCCAAGGGGAAACAAACGCACACAGGAAGCAGGGACACACAGACAUGGACCUCCGACUGUUAACAAUGACGCGACAAGUGACAAGAGACACACAGGACUAAAUACACUAGGGAGGUGCAGGUGACUGGAAACAGGUGGAAACAAUCAGACAUUCACAGGGGAUGACAGGACAAGGCAGGAAGUGAAGUUACCUGGGGACACAAGAGGCAGAAAACUACAAAAUAAAACAGGACGUGAACCAAAACCGUGACACUAAGAUGGUUGUUGGAAGGAACACUGUUAGAAACUCCUGAAUCCAACUACUACGCCCUCUUUGGUAGAGGCGGAGCUGGAGGCGGAGGAGGGAUCAUCAUCAAUCUGCCUGGUGGAAGUCACUGAGGUAGUCAAACCACUCUGCAGCGGCACGGCCCCGGGGAUUGAAGAGAUCAGCCCGGAGAUGCUGAAAGCGAUGGGUGUUGGGGGCGGGUCUUGGAUGACACGCCUCUUCAACAUUGCGUGCCAAAGGAGUGGCAGACCGGGGCGGGUGGCACCUCUCUUCAGAAAGUGAGUCCAAUUACAGUAGUGGAAGUGAGUUAUUAUCAGCCUUCAGCUAUGAGCUCAUGAAGGUGGUAACGUACAUUCAUGCUUUAACACACACACAGACACACACACAGAGGUCUGAAACAUGUGCGAGGUGAUGGGGAUACUGUAGCAAGCACAGAGCGGCAGUAUGAAAAAUACCUGCGUAUCCCAGGGCUUACUACUACUACUACUACUGCCUGAGGAGGAAAGAGUGGUCCCGGGACAGUGGUCCAAGGGGCUUUAAUUGAGUUUAAUUAAUUUUGGGAACUUUUAGAGAUUCAACAAGUCCAAGAAAUGUCAACAGGAGACGUUAGGAAACAUUCCUAGUGUGUAUGGUCACACACACACAUCCAUUAGGCCGGGCCACUUAACGUUAAUGAUUAUUAAUAUAAAUAUUUAUUAGUUAACUAUUACAGCAUUAGCAUAUUAAUAAAUUAACACAGACGAUUAUAUAGUUAUUUUUAAAUUUAAAGAUCAAAUUGAGAUUUACAAAAAUAUUUAACUGCUACUGUGUAAAGGGUAUAAAACUGUCAAAAACACUUUAAUGUUUGCACAAUAAAAGUUUGCAAUACACUACUUUUGAAUUAAUUAUCAAAUUUUGCGCAAAACAAUGUUAUUAAUCGCUAAUAAAAGUUUGAAUUGUUUCCAGCACUAUGUAUAUAUCUAAUGUAUGUGUGUGUAUUCACAUAUAUGUAAAUAUAUCAAACUCAUAUGUACGGCUGGAGGGAAGCAGAGGUUGAACCACGUUCUGCCCAUGUUAGAAAAUUGACACUGGUAUAAAUUCAUCAAACAGGAAGUAUCUUCUUGACACACAAACAACAUUCCUACAAGUCACGCAUCAAGGCUUCUCUCUGGGGCUUAAACAUGUAGAUAACGCAUCUGAAGUGUAGGUCAUCAUGGUCUUCACCUUAGUUCAUUCUACCCAACGAGGUAGAAUGAACUAGAUAAUCCGCGCAUUGACGUGCAGACAUCCGUACUAUCAGCACACCUGGAACACAAUCGCUCUCACAGACUCUCUGACGUCUACGUGAUGUUGACUAAGACAACACGUUAUUUAAGCCCAUAAGCCGUGCUGCAGUGCAGCAGAUGCACCUCCAGCAAGGCGAGGAUCAUCCCAACCGUCAUCACUUCAUCGGACAUUCCAGAUGAAGUGAGUGAGUCACAACGCCUUUAGGCCCAGAUCAGACAUUAUUGGAGGUUAUAGCAGCCUGAGUACGUUAGUAGUUGCCUACCGAUGUUUAUCAGGAAUCAGGAAUCAGGAUCAGGAAUCAGGAAACAUUUAUUUGCCAAAAUAUGCCAAACAUACAAGGAAUUUGUCUUGGCGGUUAGUGCGCGACAGUAGACAGACAAGACAACAGUGCACAGGUAAUAAAAUAAAGUAGAAUGAAAUGCUAAUGCAAUGGGUAAGUAGAAUAAGGCUAUGGGUUUAUAUUUAUAAAAAACCACUGGGAACUCCAAAAGAAUGCUACAUGAUAGGGCGUCUCCAACGACCACAGGGCUACGCGGUAAGCCCCGCCUUUUUAACCUGCCAGACUCGUGUGAUAAAGGCUGUAGCCACGGCUUUCCUCACCACAUCCACACUUCAAAGCGCUCUGCUGACCUCUGAGCACGGAUCAAUGAGGCCAAAAGAGCAUCUGUUUAGAGGAAGAAAAAAA
Gasterosteus aculeatus aculeatus (three-spined stickleback) is the source of this 11303-nucleotide long non-coding RNA. NCBI's taxonomy places the organism in Eukaryota, Metazoa, Chordata, Actinopteri, Perciformes, Gasterosteidae. The record is from Ensembl.